CAGAGUAUCAAUUGGAGGGCAAGUCUGGUGCCAGCAGCCGCGGUAAUUCCAGCUCCAAUAGCGUAUAUUAAAAUUGUUGCAGUUAAAAAGCUCGUAGUUGAAUUUCUGCUGCAUUGCUUUUGCUCCUUUACGAGUCUUUGCAUUGUGGCUUAUUUCGGACUUUGUUUUACAAUGUCCGGAUGUUUACUUUGAGAAAAUUAGAGUGCUCAAAGCAGGCUUUCGCCUUGAAUAGUUUAGCAUGGAAUAAUAAAGUAGGACUUUGGUUCUAUUUUGUUGGUUUUAGGUACCAAAGUAAUGGUUAAUAGGAACAGUUGGGGGCAUUCGUAUUUAACUGUCAGAGGUGAAAUUCUUAGAUUUGUUAAAGACGAACUACUGCGAAAGCAUUUGCCAAGGAUGUUUUCAUUAAUCAAGAACGAAAGUUAGGGGAUCGAAGACGAUCAGAUACCGUCGUAGUCCUA
Molecule: ribosomal RNA, 458 nt
Filed under: Theileria ovis
Lineage: Eukaryota; Apicomplexa; Aconoidasida; Piroplasmida; Theileriidae
Description: SSU rRNA
Rfam family: Eukaryotic small subunit ribosomal RNA
Source: RNAcentral